AUACUUACCUGACAGGGGAGACACCAUGAUCACCCAGGUGGUUUUCCCAUGGUGAGGCUCGCCUCUCGUAUUCCGGGCGUGCUGACCCCUGUGAUCUCCCCAAAUACGGGAAACUCGACUGCAUCUUC
Molecule: small nuclear RNA, 128 nt
Filed under: Crocodylus porosus (Australian saltwater crocodile)
Lineage: Eukaryota; Metazoa; Chordata; Crocodylia; Crocodylidae
Description: U1 spliceosomal RNA (ENSCPRG00005009797.1)
Rfam family: U1 spliceosomal RNA
About the family: U1 is a small nuclear RNA (snRNA) component of the spliceosome (involved in pre-mRNA splicing). Its 5' end forms complementary base pairs with the 5' splice junction, thus defining the 5' donor site of an intron.
Source: Rfam by way of RNAcentral